UACUGUUUAGAUAAGCGGUCAGCGCACUCGACUCCCAUUCCAGAGGUCCAGGUUCGAUUCCCGCAGAAA
RNAcentral lists this transfer RNA (69 nucleotides) under Trichomalopsis sarcophagae. Its description in RNAcentral is "tRNA-OTHER". The record is from RNAcentral. Lineage: Eukaryota; Metazoa; Arthropoda; Insecta; Hymenoptera; Pteromalidae.